UUUACAACUCCCAAACCCCUGUGAACAUACCAAUUGUUGCCUCGGCGGAUCAGCCCGCUCCCGGUAAAACGGGACGGCCCGCCAGAGGACCCCUAAACUCUGUUUCUAUAUGUAACUUCUGAGUAAAACCAUAAAUAAAUCAAAACUUUCAACAACGGAUCUCUUGGUUCUGGCAUCGAUGAAGAACGCAGCAAAAUGCGAUAAGUAAUGUGAAUUGCAGAAUUCAGUGAAUCAUCGAAUCUUUGAACGCACAUUGCGCCCGCCAGUAUUCUGGCGGGCAUGCCUGUUCGAGCGUCAUUUCAACCCUCAAGCCCUCGGGUUUGGUGUUGGGGAUCGGCGAGCCCUUGCGGCAAGCCGGCCCCGAAAUCUAGUGGCGGUCUCGCUGCAGCUUCCAUUGCGUAGUAGUAAAACCCUCGCAACUGGUACGCGGCGCGGCCAAGCCGUUAAACCCCCAACUUCUGAAUGUUGACCUCGGAUCAGGUAGGAAUACCCGCUGAACUUAAGCAUAUCAAUAAGCGGAGGA
This 523-nucleotide ribosomal RNA is filed under the name Fusarium sp. P7-16-M. RNAcentral's name for it is "eukaryotic LSU rRNA". The stretch from base 144 to 297 matches the Rfam family "5.8S ribosomal RNA". The record is from RNAcentral. Lineage: Eukaryota; Fungi; Ascomycota; Sordariomycetes; Hypocreales; Nectriaceae.